UGAGGAAUAUUGGUCAAUGGGCGAGAGCCUGAACCAGCCAAGUAGCGUGCAGGAUGACGGCCCUAUGGGUUGUAAACUGCUUUUAUAUGGGAAUAAAGUGAGGGACGUGUCCCUUAUUGCAUGUACCAUACGAAUAAGGACCGGCUAAUUCCGUGCCAGCAGCCGCGGUAAUACGGAAGGUCCAGGCGUUAUCCGGAUUUAUUGGGUUUAAAGGGAGCGUAGGCUGUUUGUUAAGCGUGUUGUGAAAUGUAGGAGCUCAACUUCUAGAUUGCAGCGCGAACUGUCAGACUUGAGUGCGCACAACGUAGGCGGAAUUCAUGGUGUGGCGGUGAAAUGCUUAGAUAUCAUGAAGAACUCCGAUUGCGAAGGCAGCUUACGGGAGCGCACCUGACGCUGAAGCUCGAAGGUGCGGGUAUCGAACAGG
RNAcentral lists this ribosomal RNA (424 nucleotides) under Verrucomicrobiota bacterium. Its description in RNAcentral is "Verrucomicrobia bacterium partial 16S ribosomal RNA". It matches the Rfam family "Bacterial small subunit ribosomal RNA", at positions 355 to 776 of the family's 1533-position model. Lineage: Bacteria; Pseudomonadati; Verrucomicrobiota. The record is from RNAcentral.